GAUGAACGCUAGCUACAGGCUUAACACAUGCAAGUUGAGCGCUGAAGGUUGGUACUUGUACCAACUGGAUGAGCAGCGAACGGGUGAGUAACGCGUGGGGAAUCUGCCUUUGAGCGGGGGACAACAUUUGGAAACGAAUGCUAAUACCGCAUAAAAACUUUAAACACAAGUUUUUAAGUUUGAAAGAUGCAAUUGCAUCACUCAAAGAUGAUCCCGCGUUGUAUUAGCUAGUUGGUGAGGUAAAGGCUCACCAAGGCGAUGAUACAUAGCCGACCUGAGAGGGUGAUCGGCCACAUUGGGACUGAGACACGGCCCCAAACUCCUACGGGAGGCAGCAGUAGGGAAUCUUCGGCAAUGGACAAAGUCUGACCGAGCAACGCCGCGUGAGUGAAGAAGGUUUUCGGAUCGUAAAACUCUGUUGGUAGAGAAGAACGUUGGUGAGAGUGGAAAGCUCAUCAAGUGACGGUAAACUACCCAAGGAAAGGGACGGCUAAACUACGUGCCAGCAGCC
Molecule: ribosomal RNA, 511 nt
Filed under: uncultured bacterium
Lineage: Bacteria
Description: bacterial SSU rRNA
Rfam family: Bacterial small subunit ribosomal RNA
Source: RNAcentral